Molecule: ribosomal RNA, 263 nt
Filed under: uncultured bacterium
Lineage: Bacteria
Description: partial 16S ribosomal RNA
Rfam family: Bacterial small subunit ribosomal RNA
Source: RNAcentral
GUCCACGCCCUAAACGAUGUCAACUGGUUGUUGGGUCUUCACUGACUCAGUAACGAAGCUAACGCGUGAAGUUGACCGCCUGGGGAGUACGGCCGCAAGGUUGAAACUCAAAGGAAUUGACGGGGACCAGCACAAGCGGUGGAUGAUGUGGUUUAAUUCGAUGCAACGCGAAAAACCUUACCACCUUUGACAUGUACGGAAGUUACCAGAGAUGGUUUCGUGCUCGAAAGAGAGCCGUAACACAGGUGCUGCAUGGCUGUCGU